Molecule: ribosomal RNA, 253 nt
Filed under: uncultured bacterium
Lineage: Bacteria
Description: partial 16S ribosomal RNA
Rfam family: Bacterial small subunit ribosomal RNA
Source: RNAcentral
UACGGGGGGGGCAAGCGUUGUUCGGAAUUACUGGGCGUAAAGGGCCCGUAGGCGGCCAACUAAGUCAGACGUGAAAUCCCUCGGCUUAACCGGGGAACUGCGUCUGAUACUGGAUGGCUAGAGUUUGGGAGAGGGAUGCGGAAUUCCAGGUGUAGCGGUGAAAUGCGUAGAUAUCUGGAGGAACACCGGUGGCGAAGGCGGCAUCCUGGACCAACACUGACGCUGAGGAGCGAAAGCCAGGGGAGCAAACGGG